GCCAGCAACCAUAUCACCCUGCAACUAACAUCUGGCAGCCCAGUGAAGCUCAGUAGGUGUGAGCCUGAUCAGUACCUGGAUGGGAGACCUCCUGGGAAAAACUAAGGUUGCUGCUGGAA
Ribosomal RNA from Lepisosteus oculatus (spotted gar), 119 nucleotides. The record is from Rfam. NCBI's taxonomy places the organism in Eukaryota, Metazoa, Chordata, Actinopteri, Semionotiformes, Lepisosteidae.